GGAUGUUGGCUUAGAAGCAGCCAUCAUUUAAAGAGUGCGUAAUAGCUCACUAGUCUAGUGACACUGCGCCGAAAAUGUACCGGGGCUAAACAUAUUACCGAAGCUGUGGAUUGUCCUUUGGACAAUGGUAGGAGAGCGUUCUAAGGGCGUUGAAGCAUGAUCGUAAGGACAUGUGGAGCGCUUAGAAGUGAGAAUGCCGGUGUGAGUAGCGAAAGACGGGUGAGAAUCCCGUCCACCGAUUGACUAAGGUUUCCAGAGGAAGGCUCGUCCGCUCUGGGUUAGUCGGGUCCUAAGCUGAGGCCGACAGGCGUAGGCGAUGGAUAACAGGUUGAUAUUCCUGUACCACCUAUAAUCGUUUUAAUCGAUGGGGGGACGCAGUAGGAUAGGCGAAGCGUGCGAUUGGAUUGCACGUCUAAGCAGUAAGGCUGAGUAUUAGGCAAAUCCGGUACUCGUUAAGGCUGA
RNAcentral lists this ribosomal RNA (462 nucleotides) under Staphylococcus aureus. RNAcentral's name for it is "partial 23S ribosomal RNA". It matches the Rfam family "Bacterial large subunit ribosomal RNA", at positions 1096 to 1559 of the family's 2925-position model. The record is from RNAcentral. Lineage: Bacteria; Bacillati; Bacillota; Bacilli; Caryophanales; Staphylococcaceae.